CAGCCGCCGCGGUAAUACGAGGGGGGCAAGCGUUGUUCGGAAUUAUUGGGCGUAAAGGGUGCGUAGGCGGUUUGGCAAGUCUUAUGUGAAAUCUUCGGGCUCAACCCGAAGUCUGCAUGAGAAACUGCCGGGCUUGAGUAUGGGAGAGGUGAGUGGAAUUUCCGGUGUAGCGGUGGAAUGCGUAGAUAUCGGAAGGAACACCUGUGGCGAAAGCGGCUCACUGGACCAUAACUGACGCUGAGGCACGAAAGCUAGGGGAGCGAACGGGAUUAGAUACCCCCGUAGUCCCUGUCUCUUAUAC
This 301-nucleotide ribosomal RNA is filed under the name uncultured bacterium. RNAcentral describes it as "partial 16S ribosomal RNA". It matches the Rfam family "Bacterial small subunit ribosomal RNA", at positions 509 to 807 of the family's 1533-position model. The record is from RNAcentral.